UAAUACCAAUCUGCUAAAUAUGGACUCUAUAUUCGUUUGUAGUCUUAUAACUUGAACCUAUUUGAUCCCCAAAAAAAAACAAGUUGUUUUCUAAAACUGUCCCCUACCCCUUACAUAUACUAUUUUUCAAACUUCUACUCUAAGCUAUCUAGGUUCCUACCACCUCCAAUGUGAGCACUACCUAGAGUCCUUGAGACUCCUUUGAACUCUGACAUAAUGGAGCUGGUUUCAAAUAUCUUAUGAAUUUUGUGUUGAAUGUGUGUAUCCAGUGUGCGCAUUGCCGGGGGUCCUUGAGGCUCUUUGCGAACUUUGACUUACUGGAAGCCUCGCUUAACGUGUUGUGGAUCCUGCUACCAUUUCAAAACUGUUGUGCCGAAGGCCUGACUCUCAGUAUUUUGUUGCGCCUGCUAAGGCUCCCUAUAGUGUAAUGAACAACUUUGUGUAAUUCAUUCAUAUUGGUAUGUAAUAAAGUAAUAAUCCUUGUAAAAAUAGAUAUGAGGUUAUUACUAAAAGCUGGG
Molecule: long non-coding RNA, 518 nt
Filed under: Nicotiana benthamiana
Lineage: Eukaryota; Viridiplantae; Streptophyta; Magnoliopsida; Solanales; Solanaceae
Description: long non-coding RNA (NBEN_LNC042513)
Source: RNAcentral